AUGAACAGCAGCCUAAAAAUCCUGUUUUUGCUUUGCAGAGGUGCAGCCUCCAGUGUGAGCAGCUGGGAAUUUAGGUAGUGCCUGGAUUACCUUAAAUACUUGGGAAUAACCAGGUUUGCCAGAAAUAAUCACAGUUGGCUGGUUCUGAAGCUCCUGUUUUGUCAUCAGUGAUCGUAACCUGGUCUCUUCAGUGCUCCAAAGACUCCCAGUGCAUUGGUUUAAAGCCAGCAGAAAACAGAUUUAUGUGUACAGAGGAGGUGAGUCCAACUACUUCUACUUGUAGCAUUUUCUGGUUUAUGGUGACUUUUGAUUUUCACAGGGAUUUCAGGGGACAAAUAAGGCAGCAAUAACUGAGUUCUAGCUCAGAAUCCUCAUAAACCAUCAAGCAGAACCAUGUACCAUUGUGAUUUUGCAUUAUUAUCAACCAAAUAAUGUCAUAAAUCAACUAAAUAAUGCCAUAAAUAGGCAAGAUUCUUUAAGCUCAGAAUUCCUUGGCGUUUGGGAUCCCUUUUGCUUUAAAAAUAUUCACUCCAUAAAGCACAUGCACUAAAUUUUGGUGAUUAUCUAUCGAUAAAUAUUCAAGGAUUUAUUGUCAGUCAUCAGUACUUUAAAAAUAACAAGAUGACAGCUUUAAAUAUCCAAACUUCAAUGAUUUUACACAUAUAUUUCAGUUAUUAAAUUCUAUCCAAAAGGAACCUUGAGCUGCUGUCCUUUCAGGUUGUCUUCAGGCUUCUUUUUCACAGUCUGGGGUGGUGGUUCUUCCUCAUCAACUGUUUUAGGAUCUGUGACCUGAAAAUUGAGAAUGUUUGUGGCAACAGCCCAAAGAAAUGAAAGGCUUUAAAAGUCUGGGGGAAAGAAUGAGCAAUAAUUGUCCCUCUAUUAAAACUAAAAUGCUGAAGUUAGGCAUUAUAUAAUAGGCAAGAAGAAAAUAAAUGGUUAAAAGAGAAAAGGAAGCAAAAACCCAGUUAACAGUGGUGUGGUACUAGGGAGUGUUCCUUCUACUUUUAAGGGGAAGAGAGGAAAAGAAAAUUGUGGGAAGUUUGCAGCACAGAAACCUCCUUGUGAGUCUCCAGUGUCUGGGCUGCUCCAUUUCUGGGAGUGGAUGCACCUAAUGACAGAAAAACAACCAGAAACCAUCCCUGGCCAAGCAAUCAGACACUGAUGGAUGACACCCUCCUCCUCUGCCAGGGCCUGAGCAGAAAGAGAUGGCAAAACACAGUAAUAUUGGGAGAAAAGGGCAGGGGGAGCUGCAGGAAUAAAGCAUCCAACACAUGUAACCUGGCAAAAUAAGCUCAGGGGCAAGAACACCUUCACGUGGCCACAGCUGGGGGAGCAGGGUGGGAGCUGCAAAUGUGGGAGCUGCAAAUCUGAUUUGAACCAUUUUUUGCCCAGUGAUGCCCUUGUAAAUACAGCAAUAAUGAACAUUUUCCUUGAAAGCAUCAUUUCCCCCCCCCCCCUUAAUCUAUAAAACUGCAGGAAAACAAUUAUUUUUAAAAUUUUUUUCGACUUAUAUUUGUGCUGUCCCAAACUAUCCUGCCAAGUGACCCCGAUGAGUGGGGCAGUGUCACCACAGCAGGUGACCCACACAGGACCUGCACUGAGAAUACACCUGUGACCAAGAGGAUCAAGAAUUCCAAAUCAGAAUGGUGAAAUCAGUGGGAAGAAAGCGUGGAAGAACCUUUCUGGGAAGCUGAGCCUCUCUGGGGGUGAGAGAUCAGGACCACGAAGAAAAGGUAAGUGGGGUUUAUUGCUGAGUUUGUUGAUCCCAUUGCUCCAAAUGGAAAUGCAGAAAUUAUAAAGCAAAUUAAAACUUUGCACACAGGUUUCCUGAACCGUGGAAAGACCCAGCCCUGCAGGCAGCAGGAUGUUUUUGGUGGAACCAACUGACUCACUGCACUGAUGGUUUCCUGGGCAGUUUUCCAGGUGAGGUGACCAAAGUUUGCUCGUGGGCCAACAAGAUGCUUCCUUCAGGACUUAUUUCACCCCUUCCAACAAGAUGGAGCAAUGAAUUAAGGACAUGAGAGUGCCAACACAAUGGAGUCCUGAUCCCUGGCUCCAAGACUCAGAUAUGAAAGAUUUUCAGAACUCCCCAGACAGCAAACAUAAUCAUAUCAACACAGCUUUAAUUAGCAGCAAUCUGCACUAAUUAUUUUUGCCAUCAGCCAAAUUAUAACUGGAAGAAAACAAGUGCUCUUAAUAGCCCUGCUAGAAGAAAGCCUGUCCACUGUUCCUGUCAGAGGAAUGGAGUCACCACACGCCCUCUGAUGUUGUGUCAACUGUUCAUUAGCCCUGGGAAGCAGAAGUUUCACUCCAAGCACAAAGACCCAGAGGUUUUCCAAGCUUAGAAUUUUCCAUCCCACAACUCCUGGAGCGAUCCAGUGACUCCCACCUUCCCAUUAUGCACGGUAACCACUGGUGUGCUGCGUGUCCCGGAGAGGAGGUGAUUUGAUUUACCCCGGGGGGAAAAUAUGAUUAUUUCCCGUUGCCAUGAGCUGCAGGUGAGACCAGCAGUGCUAACCCUGACACCUGGACAGACACCUGCCUGUCCCUCACAGCCCUGAGAGCAAAGCCUGGGGCGGGCAAGGAAGGUGGAAUCUCGCUGGGAAUUGCCUCUCCCUCCACAGUGUCCAUGAGGGAGGUGAGACCCUGCCUGCAACCCCUGCCCCAGGUCCCUCGGGGGCCGAAGCAGGACCUCAGUCCCUGGAGAAAAGCCAGGCCAGGUGUGUGUUCCCCGAGGUGUCCCCA
This is a long non-coding RNA of Chiroxiphia lanceolata (lance-tailed manakin), 2745 nucleotides long. RefSeq lists it as uncharacterized. The transcript has 5 exons. Lineage: Eukaryota; Metazoa; Chordata; Aves; Passeriformes; Pipridae. The record is from RefSeq and is a predicted model, not a curated record.